RNAcentral lists this ribosomal RNA (497 nucleotides) under uncultured bacterium. RNAcentral's name for it is "partial 16S ribosomal RNA". It matches the Rfam family "Bacterial small subunit ribosomal RNA", at positions 28 to 507 of the family's 1533-position model. The record is from RNAcentral.
GAUGAACGCUGGCGGCGUGCCUAAUACAUGCAAGUCGAGCGAACAGACGAGGAGCUUGCUCCUCUGACGUUAGCGGCGGACGGGUGAGUAACACGUGGAUAACCUACCUAUAAGACUGGGAUAACUUCGGGAAACCGGAGCUAAUACCGGAUAACACGUUGAACCGCAUGGUUCAACAGUGAAAGACGGUCUUGCUGUCACUUAUAGAUGGAUCCGCGCCGCAUUAGCUAGUUGGUAAGGUAACGGCUUACCAAGGCAACGAUGCGUAGCCGACCUGAGAGGGUGAUCGGCCACACUGGAACUGAGACACGGUCCAGACUCCUACGGGAGGCAGCAGUAGGGAAUCUUCCGCAAAGGGCGAAAUCCUGACGGAGCAACGCCGCGUGAGUGAAGAAGGUCUUCGGAUCGUAAAACUCUGUUAUUAGGGAAGAACAAAUGUGUAAGUAACUAUGCACGUCUUGACGGUACCUAAUCAGAAAGCCACGGCUAACUACGUG